AUUGAACGCUGGCGGCAGGCCUAACACAUGCAAGUCGAACGGUAGCACAGAGAGCUUGCUCUCGGGUGACGAGUGGCGGACGGGUGAGUAAUGUCUGGGAAACUGCCCGAUGGAGGGGGAUAACUACUGGAAACGGUAGCUAAUACCGCAUAACGUCGCAAGACCAAAGUGGGGGACCUUCGGGCCUCAUGCCAUCAGAUGUGCCCAGAUGGGAUUAGCUAGUAGGUGGGGUAACGGCUCACCUAGGCGACGAUCCCUAGCUGGUCUGAGAGGAUGACCAGCCACACUGGAACUGAGACACGGUCCAGACUCCUACGGGAGGCAGCAGUGGGGAAUAUUGCACAAUGGGCGCAAGCCUGAUGCAGCCAUGCCGCGUGUGUGAAGAAGGCCUUCGGGUUGUAAAGCACUUUCAGCGGGGAGGAAGGCGGUGAGGUUAAUAACCUCAUCGAUUGACGUUACCCGCAGAAGAAGCACCGGCUAACUCCGUGCCAGCAGCCGCCGUAA
Molecule: ribosomal RNA, 504 nt
Filed under: uncultured bacterium
Lineage: Bacteria
Description: partial 16S ribosomal RNA
Rfam family: Bacterial small subunit ribosomal RNA
Source: RNAcentral